UGGGGAAUAUUGGACAAUGGGCGAAAGCCUGAUCCAGCCAUGCCGCGUGUGUGAAGAAGGUCUUCGGAUUGUAAAGCACUUUAAGUUGGGAGGAAGGGCAGUAAGCGAAUACCUUGCUGUUUUGACGUUACCGACAGAAUAAGCACCGGCUAACUCUGUGCCAGCAGCCGCGGUAAUACAGAGGGUGCAAGCGUUAAUCGGAAUUACUGGGCGUAAAGCGCGCGUAGGUGGUUCGUUAAGUUGAAUGUGAAAGCCCCGGGCUCAACCUGGGAACUGCAUCCAAAACUGGCGAGCUAGAGUAGGGCAGAGGGUGGUGGAAUUUCCUGUGUAGCGGUGAAAUGCGUAGAUAUAGGAAGGAACACCAGUGGCGAAGGCGACCACCUGGGCUCAUACUGACUCUGAGGUGCGAAAGCGUGGGGAGCAAACAGG
This 429-nucleotide ribosomal RNA is filed under the name Pseudomonadota bacterium. RNAcentral's name for it is "Proteobacteria bacterium partial 16S ribosomal RNA". It matches the Rfam family "Bacterial small subunit ribosomal RNA", at positions 355 to 776 of the family's 1533-position model. Lineage: Bacteria; Pseudomonadati; Pseudomonadota. The record is from RNAcentral.